GCCCCUUUUAUAUUGUACUACU
Molecule: microRNA, 22 nt
Filed under: Danio rerio (zebrafish)
Lineage: Eukaryota; Metazoa; Chordata; Actinopteri; Cypriniformes; Danionidae
Description: Dre-Mir-130-P1b1_5p* (star (passenger))
Source: RNAcentral